This 450-nucleotide ribosomal RNA is filed under the name uncultured bacterium. Its description in RNAcentral is "partial 16S ribosomal RNA". It matches the Rfam family "Bacterial small subunit ribosomal RNA", at positions 29 to 523 of the family's 1533-position model. The record is from RNAcentral.
AGCGAACAUUGGCGGUAGGCUUAACACAUGCAAGUCGAGCGAGGCGUAAUAGUCGAGCGGCGAACGGGUGAGUAAUACAUGGAAAUCUACCCUGAAGUGGGGGAUAACGUCCAGAAAUGGACGCUAAUACCGCAUAAUCCAUAUUGGGAAAGCGUUGCAGCGCUUUAGGAUGAGUCCAUGGCUGAUUAGCUUGUUGGUGAGGUAACGGCUCACCAAGGCGACGAUCAGUAGCUGGUCUGAGAGGAUGACCAGCCACACUGGAACUGAGACACGGUCCAGACUCCUACGGGAGGCAGCAGUGGGGAAUCUUGCGCAAUGGGGGCAACCCUGACGCAGCCAUACCGCGUGAGUGAUGAAGGUCUUCGGAUUGUAAAGCUCUUUCGGCGGGGACGACGAUGACGGUACCCGCAAAAGAAGUCACGGCUAACUUCGUGCCAGCAGCCGCCGCGG